CAGAUUUCAGUGACGGUGUUCUGAUCACUCAAUGGCCGAAAUACAUAUCCAGACUUCCAGGCUUCUCAGUUGAAAUGCACUGUUACCAAAAUGAUACAAAUUAUGACUACAAAUACUGGUACAGACAAAUAAAAGGAGAGCUAGAGCUUGUUGGGAGCUACAUUGUUAGCUCUGGCUCGACUGAGAAGGAUUUUGGAACCGGUUUUACAGUGUCAGGUACAGAGAAGAAGCAAUGGACCCUGAAAGUGGAUGUUAAGGAGGGGAUUGAUGCUGUGUAUCUGUGUGCUGCUAGUUUACACAGUGAAUAAACACUAAUAAAUUGUACAACAAAAACCCAUUGGAUGGCAACCUCUAAAUCACACCUGCCUCAACCACAAAGAAAUAAACCCAUAUCUCUACAGACAAGUCAGCAGAACCUUACAACCCGCACAUACAGUAGAAUUACAUUAAUCAUUUUACACCCCUCCCUUAUGCCAAAAGCACUUUCACACAAAGGUCUUGUUGAUGUGACGCAGUCAGUAGGGGGAGAUGUGACUUUAAUGUACAGGUAUUCCUCUCUCUCUGUUGAUAUUAAAGUCUUGUACUCUCUCUCUCUCACCUUGUCAGAUUAUUUUUGCUGUGUGCAUAGCCAGAGUAUUUUUUAACCCUGUUUUAGAAGAAUGUUCAGAGCUGCGUAUGGACUGUGCGUUUAUUUCUUAUUAUAUAUAGGGAUGGUGCGAUGUGUGACCGUUCAACAGAACCCCACAUCCAUUUUAGCCAACGAGAAAUCUGCAGUGAUAAAUUGUAGUUAUGAUGACAGUAACAUGGAUUAUAUGCAAUGGUAUCAGCAGAAGGAUACAGCCAUGGUCUUGAUCGUGUUCAGUUUCAGUGCUACAAGUGACCCCACGUUUGAGGAUGGAUUUAAAGACCGGACUGAACUGGACAGAACAGAAACACUGAAGGGAGCUCUGAAAAUCUCUGAUCUCAGUUCAUCAGACUCGGCUGUUUAUUACUGUGCUGUCAGUAUGCACAGUGCUGUAGUCUUUAUUACCUGCCUGACUAAAAACCAAACCACCAGACAAACAGGAAAUGCAAUACAUACAAAAGAGGAAUCUAACUUCUGUUUCUUUUUUUUCAGAUUUUCUUUUUCAAAGAUUUUUACUGUUUUACUGUUUUUCCUGAUUUUUCUAUCAGUUUUUAAUUGA
This 1184-nucleotide long non-coding RNA is filed under the name Carassius auratus (goldfish). Its description in RNAcentral is "lncRNA (ENSCARG00000038338.1)". Lineage: Eukaryota; Metazoa; Chordata; Actinopteri; Cypriniformes; Cyprinidae. The record is from RNAcentral.